UACGUAGGGUCCGAGCGUUGUCCGGAAUUAUUGGGCGUAAAGGGCUCGUAGGCGGCCUGUUGCGUCGGGAGUGAAAACUUACAGCUUAACUGUGAGCGUGCUUCCGAUACGGGCAGACUUGAGGUAUUCAGGGGAGAACGGAAUUCCUGGUGUAGCGGUGAAAUGCGCAGAUAUCAGGAGGAACACCGGUGGCGAAGGCGGUUCUCUGGGAAUAUCCUGACGCUGAGGAGCGAAAGUGUGGGGAGCGAACAGG
RNAcentral lists this ribosomal RNA (253 nucleotides) under uncultured bacterium. RNAcentral describes it as "partial 16S ribosomal RNA". It matches the Rfam family "Bacterial small subunit ribosomal RNA", at positions 524 to 776 of the family's 1533-position model. The record is from RNAcentral.